CAAUAGCGUAUAUUAAAGUUGUUGCGGUUAAAAAGCUCGUAGUUGGAUUUCUGCUGAGGACGAUCGGUCCGCCCACUGGGUGAGUAUCUGGCUCGGCCUUGGCAUCUUCUUGGAGAACGUUGCUGCACUUGACUGUGUGGUGCGGUAUCCAGGACUUUUACUUUGAGGAAAUUAGAGUGUUUCAAGCAGGCGCACGCCUUGAAUACAUUAGCAUGGAAUAAUAAGAUAGGACCUUAGUUCUAUUUUGUUGGUUUCUAGAGCUGAGGUAAUGAUUAAUAGGGAUAGUUGGGGGCAUUCGUAUUUAACUGUCAGAGGUGAAACUCUUGGAUUUGUUAAAGACGGACUACUGCGAAAGCAUUUGCCAAGGAUGUUUUCAUUGA
This 380-nucleotide ribosomal RNA is filed under the name uncultured eukaryote. Its description in RNAcentral is "partial 18S ribosomal RNA". It matches the Rfam family "Eukaryotic small subunit ribosomal RNA", at positions 592 to 976 of the family's 1831-position model. The record is from RNAcentral.